GCAUUCGAUACUGGGAAGCUAGAGUAUGGGAGAGGAUGGUAGAAUUCCAGGUGUAGCGGUGAAAUGCGUAGAGAUCUGGAGGAAUACCGAUGGCGAAGGCAGCCAUCUGGCUAAUACUGACGCUGAGGUACGAAAGCAUGGGGAGCAAACAGGAUUAGAUACCCUGGUAGUCCAUGCCGUAAACGAUGUCUACUAGCCGUUGGGGCCUUUGAGGCUUUAGUGGCGCAGCUAACGCGAUAAGUAGACCGCCUGGGGAGUACGGUCGCAAGACUAAAACUCAAAUGAAUUGACGGGGGCCCGCACAAGCGGUGGAGCAUGUGGUUUAAUUCGAUGCAACGCGAAGAACCUUACCUGGCCUUGACAUACUAGAAACUUUCCAGAGAUGGAUUGGUGCCUUCGGGAAUCUAGAUACAGGUGCUGCAUGGCUGUCGUCAGCUCGUGUCGUGAGAUGUUGGGUUAAGUCCCGCAACGAGCGCAACCCUUUUCCUUACCUGCCAGCAUUUCGGAUGGGAACUUUAAGGAUACUGCCAGUGACAAACUGGAGGAAGGCGGGGACGACGUCAAGUCAUCAUGGCCCUUACGGCCAGGGCUACACACGUGCUACAAUGGUCGGUACAAAGGGUUGCUACACAGCGAUGUGAUGCUAAUCUCAAAAAGCCGAUCGUAGUCCGGAUUGGAGUCUGCAACUCGGCUCCAUGAAGUCGGAAUCGCUAGUAAUCGCGGAUCAGAAUGCCGCGGUGAAUACGUUCCCGGGCCUUGCACUCACCGCCCGUCA
This 775-nucleotide ribosomal RNA is filed under the name uncultured bacterium. RNAcentral describes it as "bacterial SSU rRNA". It matches the Rfam family "Bacterial small subunit ribosomal RNA", at positions 623 to 1399 of the family's 1533-position model. The record is from RNAcentral.